Long non-coding RNA from Sapajus apella (tufted capuchin), 954 nucleotides. RefSeq lists it as uncharacterized. The record is from RefSeq and is a predicted model, not a curated record. NCBI's taxonomy places the organism in Eukaryota, Metazoa, Chordata, Mammalia, Primates, Cebidae. The transcript is spliced from 2 exons.
UGAUCCUCCUGCCUCAGCCUCCAGGUAGCUGGGACUACAGGUGCCACCACACUGGGCUCACCUCCUUCAUUUUACAGCUAAGGAAAUGGAAGUCCAAUGAAGGGACGACUUGCUCAGAGAACCAGCAGGGAGAGGGAGGAACUCUUACAAGGUUCCACAGGAGAGACAGAGUUGAAGAUCAAUCAAUAAACAACGGGGAAAGGUGUGAAGUAACGACUGAGCCCUUCCACAGAUUGUCUCCCUAGUUCGACUGCCACCCGCACCCCAAGGGGCCCACUGGACGCUGCCCGCGCAUGCCCCAUCCCGUUCGUGCCCCCGCGUGGCCGCCUGCAGUCUCGCGGAUGCGCCAGGUCACGAGUGCGCCACCGCGCGCCCCGCGCUGCGUCCCCGCAGACCUGCGCGCCUCUGCUCUGCCCGGCUGUGCGCCUCCAACCCCGCGCUUCCGCCUUUUUCCACAGGAAUCCGAAAUCAGAUUCAGCUGUGAAGCGCGGUUUCGGAUCCUCUUUCGCUUCUCUAUCUCGAGAAACUUGAAACUGUGUCCUCUACGGUUGCAUCAGAGGGCAUCUUGAGAGUGGAGGAGGGCUGCUGAGCCCGCCGCAGGGUUCCGCCGGGCCGGGAGGUCUUGCUCAACCUGAACGUUGCGGGGAGAUGGGUGUUCGCGGAGGGAAUGGGCCCUGGCGGCCCUAGAGCCAUCCCCGAGCGCCUCCCACCGCCAGCGGACUUGCUGUUAAAAAUGCAAUCGACGCGUCCCGUGAGUCAGAAUGAGGGUGACUACUUAUGGAAGAGGAAGGAGAGACGGGGAAGGGGCGCGAGGAGACUUCUGAGCUGGCUGGCCAAGUUCUUUUUCUUGGUCUCGGAGACAGUUCACUUUGUAGUAGUUAGUUCAGCCAUACGUCAAGUCCAUGGGAUUCUGUAUCCGUGAUUUAUUUUACAAUAAAAAUAUGUUUAAAAUAA